This 2884-nucleotide long non-coding RNA is filed under the name Sus scrofa (pig). Its description in RNAcentral is "lncRNA (ENSSSCG00000055209.1)". The record is from RNAcentral. Lineage: Eukaryota; Metazoa; Chordata; Mammalia; Artiodactyla; Suidae.
CUUUCCUUCCUUCCUUCUUUCUUUCUUUUCUUUUCUUUCUUUUUUCUAUUUUUAAGGCCAUACCCACAGCAUAUGGAAGUUUUCAGGCUAGGGGUUGAAUCCAAGCUAUAGCUGCCAGCCACAGCCACAGCCACAGCAACACCAGAUCCAAGCCACUGCUGCAACCUACACCACAGCUCACAGCAACACCAGAUCCUUAACCCACUGAGUGGGGCCAGGGGUUGAACCUGCAUCCUCAUAGAUACUAGUCAGGUUCGUUUCCACUGAGCUACAGUAUAGAAUGAAUAGUUGGUUUCUAGAAUGAGUAGGAACUCCAUUCUAGUAGAAUGUUGCUUUCCCAGAAAAGGUCACUGUAGAAACGUUGAGGAAAUCAGUACAUUAGACUUUGUUCUGAAUGAGUCAUAAAUAGACAUUAGUGAAGGAAAUAAUGGGGGUGAGUCUUUGUGAAACAGUGCAAUAACUAUUGAGUGCUUAAUAUGUGCCAGGCAUGAGUCUAGAUACGAGGACUCCACAUCAUGAACAAAACACAAGUCCCUGCUCUUCUGAGCUAACAUUCUAGUAGAGACAGGCAAACGUCAAAGUACAUAAUCUGCUUUCAUGUAGUAAUAGAUGCUAGAAAGGAGUAAGGGUAAACAGGGUAAGGGUAAGCAUGCUACUUAAACAGGGUGAGCAGAUACCCUUUCUGGUAAAGACAGUUAAGCAGAAACUUGAGUGAAGAGAAUAUGUGGGGGAAGCAUGUUCCAGGUAGAGGGAACAGCCAAUGCGAAGACCCUAAGGCAGGAGGCUCAAUGUACUCAAAGAACAGUAAAAAGGUCUUGAUGACUGGAAAGAGUUCUGAGUGACGGGAAGGAGUUUCAAGGCCACUGUAAGAAUUUUGCUUGUGAUCAGAGGAAGACGGUAGGGCAUCAGAGAAGUUCAGAAAUGAUACAGAUUCACAGAUGUUACACACCCGAUAGCUCACAAAUUCAAGUUUGCUAUUUUCACGGUGGCAAUUGGUAGCUGGGGACUGCUGAAAGCUCAUUUUUUAUGAAUUCAAAAAAACACUGAGCUUUCUCCAAAUCCUUAAUCUUUCUGACCCUGACCUGUGCACUCACAUCACACUGGGCUGGGGCCGAUCCUCCCAGUUGCCUGGUCACUGUCAUUCCCUGAGUAAAUGAAAAUGGCAGCACUCAGGUACAUGGGCAUCUUUGAACAUGAGACCAUCAGUGGUGAUACUGGUGAGUGGUACCAGGCGGAUGAAAGCCAGAACUUUUAAAGUCAGUGACUUCCAGGAAGCCUAGAUGAUUUUGUAAAACCACUUAUGAGUAUCCCAAAGUAAGGUAGACUGAGAUUCAGCACAAUGCAAAACAAACUAUUAAAAAUCCUUAGGGGUUAAGUGCAAACCAAAAAACCAUUGAAAAAAUUGAGGUAAAGUAUGUGGCAAUUCAGGUAGGGAACUAGAAAUUAGGUGUUAGAAGUGUCAUUUCAAGAUGAUUUUAGAGAAUGCAGCUUCCUGGAAGGUGGCUGGAAUUCUUUUUCGUUUUUGGCUUUUUAGGGCUGCACUUGUGGAAAUAUGGAGGUUCCCAGGCUAGGGGUCAAAUCAGAGCUACAGCUGCUGGCCAAUGCCACAGCCACAGCAAUGAAGGAUCUGAGCCACGUCUGCGACCUACACCACAGCUUACGGCAAUGCCUGAUCCUCAACCCACUGAGAGAGGCCAGGGAUCAAACCUACAUCUUCAUUGGAUCCUAGUCGGGUUCAUUAACUGCUGAGCCAUGAAGGGAACUCCAUAGAAUUCUUAGGUUGUAAUAGGGGUGUUUUCCUGCUGGUUUUGUAUCUAGGGCACCUUGCGCAGAGCUGGGCACAUGAGUGAACACUCAAAGAAUGUUGCUAUUUCAUUGCCCUCCAGGAAUAAUGAUAGGGCAGCGGGUGGGGUGGGGGGAGGUCCUGAGGAAGCUGCUAUCCAACAAUUACCACCACGAUAUCGAUCACUUCCUGGACACUUUACACAUAUGGGAGGUUGAAUGAUGAAAACCACAGCUAUCUUUUCUUUGGACUAUGCGAUGUUUUUAAAACUUGGCAACACUGGGACCAUAUUCCUACUUAACAACUGGCCAGAACGGAGUAGAGAAAGUUCUCUUUAGAAAGGGGAUGUGCUGUCCAGUUUGCCAGACUCCACUGACCUGAUUGGCCCCCAAAGACCUUUGUGUUUAUAGCCUCUGAGAUACACUAUCUUGUCUAAACCUUGCACCAACUAUAUGAAGUAAAUUGAUGCUUUAUGGGUGAGAAAACCGAGGCUCACAGGUGUUGAGUACCUUCUGAGCAUCAGGGCUGGAAACCCAUUUGUGGGUCUCCCAAGCUCAUGCUGCUUCUGUUGUGCCCACUGCUGCUGCAGCAACAGCACAGGACCCACGUUGUUCCAUGACUCUACGAUUCGAGGACUUUAAAUUGUGCAUGUCACAAUUCUAGACUCACUCUGGAAAAUCUAGAAAUCCAUUAUCACUAAGUCACUGUGUGAUCUGUAUAAGGCCAGAGACCUUUACCAAAAAAAGCAAUGAGGGGUUGGAGAUGACCUCUAAGUUGACUUCUAGCCCUAGCAGACUCACUCAGGAGGUAAGAUUGCACUUUUAAAGGUUCCACAUGGGAGCAAAAGAUGACAACAAGUUACUACUAACAUCCUGGUGGUGAGUGGAGCAUUUAUUUUCCUAAAAUAGAAAGGUUGGGUCUGAACUUCCAGUCCUAUAGCUCUGUUCUAUUCCCCCAGCUCCCUGCCAGGCCUCCUCUCUCAGAGUGAGCUCCUAGAGAGACUGUGGCCUAUUCUAUCCCAAAGUCAUUGAAUUUAAGACACUGUUGAGCAUAAGAAAAAUAUCUUAGGUGACUCUAACAAAGGAAAGAUGGUAGAACACC